Mauremys reevesii (Reeves's turtle) is the source of this 3891-nucleotide long non-coding RNA. RefSeq lists it as uncharacterized. NCBI's taxonomy places the organism in Eukaryota, Metazoa, Chordata, Testudines, Geoemydidae. The transcript is spliced from 3 exons. The record is from RefSeq and is a predicted model, not a curated record.
AUGGUAAUAUCUUAUCCAGGGAUUCUCUCUCUUUCUCUCGAAAGCUCCAGCACAAAGAGGCUUGUACAGCAGCCAACAUCUCGCCCAGCCCGGGGUCCCUGCGCCGCGGUUUCUCAUGGAAAUCAGAAGCCUCUUUUUGAUCCACAUCCAGAAUAGGGUUUAAGACAGGUAAAUGGAACCUUGCAUCAUUUCCAAUGCUCCCCAAAGGGAAUGCAGUAAAAAUGCUGGUUUACAUCUCUGCCUUUAAACCACCAUUUUCUCUAAAAUAUGGGAAUUAGGAGCAAUGCUAGGGGGGAAAGGGACAGGGGCGCGGAAGAGGGCAGAGAAAGUCCAGGCUAUGAAGGGGACUUUAUUCCACCCGUUCUUGUCUGCAAAGAGUUAAUCUGACAGAUGCUACCAUAGAGCAUUUUGGGGUGUCAUUUUCACAUCCACUAUUGCUCUGCCACCUUUUGCAUUGGAAAAUCUAUCCCAGCCCUGGCAAGUCUAGAAAUAAUGGGAUAUUUCAUUCCUAGCAGCUUCUCAAAACCCUAAGGAAAGCCCCUGCUCUGCCUUCUUAAAAAUACAUCAGAUGCCACAAUCAAACUAGUUACUGAAUGCCCGGCUAGUGCAAUAGGCAAAGGAAGGCUUGCUUCAGAGCCAGACGCAGCCACUCCUGGAGUGCAGUAGCAUCCGACAAUUCCGAUUUCACACUCUGCCAGGAAUCAAAAUGAAGGAACACGAAGUCCGGCCGUGGCAGAGUGAGGGGCAAUGCCCAGACUGGGGAAGUGUAGAACAGCGCAGAAUGCCCAGAACCUUGCAUCUUAGCAAUCAUGGUGUGUAAGUGACUAUAACUCCGCCCUGAAGAAAGCCAUUCCCUCUCCCCACUCUGCUGCUCUGCUCACCUCCGCUCAUCACACAGGCUGCUCGUGUGACAUGACUCGUGUAGAGUGGUCUCUUGUUCCUUUGUGCAUUCUGCUCCGACCGAGUGCAAAGCUGGGCUUCAGUCCUGGCUUCCUUUCUGUUUAUCUCUUGCUUAACCUGAACAAUACGGCUGCAUGUUCACAUCUGCAGCAUCCCCACAUGCUCCGCUAGCUAACGCUCCCUGCAAGCAGGGUAUACACAAGCCAACCGGCAGCCCAGACUGCAACCAGUUCAGUGGGGCACAAAACGAACAUUUUGUUAACUGCCGCUGUCAUUCAUUCUCUCCACUCGAUUCCCAGGAACACACUCCACUUAUGGCCCAACAAAGGGAGUGUGCUAAAGCUCUCAGUUCAGGGGCAACGGGGCAUUACCUACCUUUAGAGAACCCAGCCUCCAUCUUAGGGCCCCAUGCAGGGAAACCCUUUGCUACAGUUCUUAUGGGCUUCCACUGUAUCUAUUCUAGCAGUGCAGGCAACCUUCCUACGGACUCCCAAGGAAGGCCCAGGUCCUAAGGACUAUCCUCAGUGCAUGGUGUUCAGCAAGUGCAUGCAUGCCGGGGCCUCCUCAGGAGAGCCUUUUUCAUAGAGACGGCUCAUUGUUAGAGGUAAUAAUAACAACUGGCUGACAGCCGUAUCCAUCAGAGACUGUGCUACAGUCGUCCCUGCCCAUUUCCAGAGGGGUUUAGCCAGGGCUAUGGUUGUUAUGUUCAUAUUGGUUUUGAACACAAAUCAUUAGCAAAGUCUGACUCUAGUGGCAGCUGUCAGCUGACUGUACUUCAGCUAAAUACAAGAGUGGGGCCAGACCCCAGUCACAGAUAUCCUGGGGGAAAUCCAGAGUGACUCCUUUGAAGAUGAAGCCUCUCAUGUAACUGAGAUCAGAAUCCGACCCAAUCUCUCUGUAGCUUUAGCUGCUACCGAGAGUGUGAAGAUUUGCAGCAGUGCACGAGGCCGAGCGGGCUAGGAUAUUACGAUCUGAAAUGGGUAAUUGUUUGGUGUGGCCUUUCUAUGCCUCCUUCACUGUCAUUCAUACACACACCUGGGGAUAGGUGUGCAUGGGCUCCAGGAAACUCAGAGAGGGCUCCUUUCUAGCGCUGCUGGUGGGAAGAGCUGCAGGGGGGUAGGAGUAAUUUCCUGGGAGCUAGAUUCUGCCCCCAAGUGACUAGCACGAGGUCUGUCGUCCUCUGCAAGCGAGCUCAAUGCUGGAAGCCAACGGAGCGUGUCUGUGGCUUUGUCUCCUAGUGACACAGAGAGGACACAGGUCCUUUUUCAGCAUCACUUUGGAUACAGUGUAACAAAAUAUGCUUCAAUGGUUCUUGGCAUUCUGCCCCACCUGUCCCCAUGUUCACACCACACAGAGACACACACACUGUGCGAAUGUACAUACAAGUUAGAGGUGGUCGAAACACCUGAUUGCAUCAAAAAAGUUUUUUUUUCCAAAAAUCAAAUUUUGAUGAAAAAUGUAAUUGAAAAUCAGAAAAUUUGGACCAACUUUAAAAAUUUAGUCAGCUCUGAAAACAACUCAGGUGCACACACACACACACACACACACACAUCAGGUAGGGAAGCAGCUAGUGCACGGGAAAUCUAGGCAGCAGACAGCCGCAGCAAAUGGAGAUACACAGCUAUCUCGAAAUGGUUCCAGACCCACCCUCCGCUUUUGCUGCAGAGAAUCAGAUUUUGUACAGAUUCCACACCCCAGACUAAGGCCUGGCUCCCUCUCCCAGGACAGGGGCAUGGUUCCUUUUGUUGCUGUCUGUGAUAGUGUGAAUCACGUGCAGGUGUUAGUGGGAGUAGCCCCGUAGGAAGGCAUGACCAUGAGCACAGGUUCUGGAUCAUGGCACAAGUAGCCGGGGACCCAGCCAGGGGCUGCUGGUGUCUGGAAAUCUUCUCCUUUUGCGUAAGCAGUGUCAGCAAAGGGACUCCUGCUGCAUGCCAGGGGCCAGGGUUUUGCUCUUUCUGAACUGAAGAUACACUGCCCUGACCCUCACCCACAUCAGGCCUGUUCCUCCCCGCUGUGCAGCCGGACGGCAGGGAGCUCACAGCAUUGUGGCAGGCCCAGCGCUCCGUGGCUCAGAGCUGCGGCCCCCAAUUAGCCCGCGUUCCGCUUUCAUCUUCUCUCUCCUUGGGAAUGUAAAGCUGGCUCCUUCCUAAGUCAUGAAUGGAAGUGAGUCCAGCCAUCGCCCGAGUGACCCAGCGAGCCCCACUCUGACGCCGCACACGCCGCUGGCAGAAGCCAUUUUUAAUGAAGAGGAUUUGAUCAAAUGAGACAGCAAGCGACUCUGGAGAAAGCCGGGGGCUUGGCUUCUGCAUGCCCUAGCCCUGGAGAUGCCUAAGCCAAAGGGGCUCCUUCGGAGGGGACUUGCAUGCAGACGUGGACGGCACCACUGGCCACCCCUUUCCUCGUCCAGUCUCUGCGGUCGUUUUCUCCUAGCUUAGGGUCGGUGUGGCCCCAGAGGAUCACAGUCCAUCCGUGUCUGUAUCCCCAGGGACAGAGCCAGUGAAGGGGACUUUCUUUAGCAGGAGAGGCUCUGCACCUUCCCCUGAAAGCACCUUGUCUGGAAGAGGGGCGUAUAGCCCUCAUGCCAGAGACGCACGGCAGCCCAGCCCUGCCCAGCCCAACCCAGCCCAGGGACGGGGAGCCUCUGGCACAGUCUCCUCUGAGCCCCCGUAUCCCACAGGGCGGCAGAGCAUCGCAGAUGAGACUCUCCUGCUGGGUUACUUAUUAGUAUGGGGCUUCCCUUUGGUGCCACCUGGGCCCCGGGGAGCUGGGUGGCCGCGGAAGGUGCUGCAUGCUGUUCUCUUUUGCUGCGUUGGUUGCUUUCUUUUGCAGCUGCUAAUGACUGACCUGAGGUCUGUUCACACACAGUCCCCUGCGUGGCCGGAGCAGCAAGACAAGAUGGGGGGUUAUUUUACAGUGUUCUCGUAGCCAGUGGCGCCAGAGACACGUCUGCUUGAGGGAUGCUCCGUCUCGCUCCCGGUGGGAUUCCUGAGC